Long non-coding RNA from Nicotiana attenuata, 1690 nucleotides. RefSeq lists it as uncharacterized. The transcript is spliced from 2 exons. Lineage: Eukaryota; Viridiplantae; Streptophyta; Magnoliopsida; Solanales; Solanaceae. The record is from RefSeq and is a predicted model, not a curated record.
CACCUCCAUUUCCCUCAUCUCCCAAAUUAACUAAACCUAGCCGCCCUAAAUCCCCAAAUCAACUGAUCGGCGGCACCACCUCUUAACCUCCCCAAAUCUUCACCAAACAAUAACAUCUCCCCCUCUCUCUGAAUCCCAUAACCAUUUCCCUCAAAACUUUCUUGAUUUUGUAGGUUUUAGAUCUAAAAUCUCAGAAAAACCUAGUUUUGCCCUUUUCGAUUGCUUCGUAAGAUUCAUUCAAUUUGGCUCGAAACUUAUGUUGAUUGAUUGAUUGCUCUGGACAAGAGAAAUCUAUUAACAUUAGUUUUGGACCAUUUCAAAGUCGCCAAGAUUCGGCCGUUCCGCCCAUUGCUUGACUGGAUUCUGUAUUGCAUGUCUCUUUUAAACUCGAGCAGGUAUAACUUCAUUCUUUUUCUUUCCUUCAUUAACUUUAAUCCUUUGUUUCAUUGGCUUAUUUUACAAUUUCAUUUUUUUUGGUUAAGGUUAUGCUAAACGAGAUUUAUUUUAGACAAAUUUGUUAGUUAAAUCGCAUUUCUAUUUUGUUAGAAAAUAAUUGAAAGCCAAUGCUUUGUUUUAAUUAAUUAGUUACUUCUUAAUUAGUUUUUGUUUAGCAUGUGCCCGGUUUAACUAAGGUCUAAGUGAUUAAUCUGUUUUUAGGUUCAAAUUGGAAUUAAUUGGUAAAUAACAGAAGUUUGAGGGGGCUAAAGGGCAUUGCAAAAAUAGGGAAUCUUGUUUAGUUAUUUAGGAAGCUUCUAGAGAGGAGUAAAAGUGCAAUAAAAAAUGGAUUAGGUCAAAUUUGGGGUAAAAAGAUUUAAUUUCAGAAGCUAACUGUCCAUUUCUGUUGAAAAGAUGCCCUUAUUCCUGAAUUUUAGGGGCUGCACAUUCCUCAAAUUAUUCCCUCUUCAUUGUGCACAUAACAAAUUCUCACUCUCUAUAUAAGACCUCAUAUCCUCUCACUCACGGAGACACACGAAUUCUCUGAAAAAAUUUAGAAUCCUCUCUUCAUUUUUUACACUGAUUUCUCAAAGGAAACACUCUGAAAAAUUCCAUAAAGGUUUUCACAAGUUAUUCUUCUCUGUAUGAUUUGCUAUUCAACUUCUUGUUUCUUCAAUACUGCAUCAAGUUGCUGAAGAAAUCUGUUGCUUUCGUUUGCUGCUGGAAUUUUGAAUUUCAUCUUCUAGUUUCAGACCUUUGCUUGUCUUGUCUAGCUGAUUUUCUGCACUUAGGUGUGUUGAUGUUUGCUUUGCUAGUAUGUGUCGAACAUUUCUACUUAGCCUAGUUCUGUAUAUGAAUGAAUUCCAAACCGUGAGUAAUUUAUGCCUACUGGUCUAAUGAUGUUCAGAAGGUUAAGUUGGUUGGUUUGAUCACCAGUUGUUCAAAUCCAUCCAAUGAAUGGAUUAAAUCAACGAAGUUGGCUCAUGCAAUUCUGUCACUGUAUCGUCAAGGAGGCAGUAUAAUAAAUAUAUAUGUUUUAGAAUUGUUUAGGCCAGAUUUUUAAAGUUAUUAUGAUUUACACAAAGUUAUCUAUGUAAUAGACUCAUUUGAGUUUAAAGUGCCAAUUCCUUCUUGUUAGCUGUAUUGAUUUGUUUCCAGGCUUAGUUAAUUUGUAAUAUCAAAGUGAAUGAAGAUUUCAUUUGUAAAAUUUGUUAAAUUUUCUGCAUUUCUAUAUGUAUUGGGCCCAGUGAGACUA